RNAcentral lists this ribosomal RNA (498 nucleotides) under uncultured bacterium. RNAcentral's name for it is "partial 16S ribosomal RNA". It matches the Rfam family "Bacterial small subunit ribosomal RNA", at positions 30 to 523 of the family's 1533-position model. The record is from RNAcentral.
AUUGAGCGCUGGCGGCAUGCCUUACACAUGCAAGUCGAACGGUAACAGGUCUUCGGAUGCUGACGAGUGGCGAACGGGUGAGUAAUACAUCGGAACGUGCCCAGUAGUGGGGGAUGACUACUCGAAAGAGUGGCUAAUACCGCAUGAGAUCUACGGAUGAAAGCAGGGGAUCGCAAGACCUUGUGCUACUAGAGCGGCCGAUGGCAGAUUAGGUAGUUGGUGGGAUAAAAGCUUACCAAGCCGACGAUCUGUAGCUGGUCUGAGAGGACGAUCAGCCACACUGGGACUGAGACACGGCCCAGACUCCUCCGGGAGGCAGCAGUGGGGAAUUUUGGACAAUGGGCGCAAGCCUGAUCCAGCAAUGCCGCGUGCAGGAUGAAGGCCUUCGGGUUGUAAACUGCUUUUGUACGGAACGAAAAGCCCCGGGUUAAUACCCUGGGGUCAUGACGGUACCGUAAGAAUAAGCACCGGCUAACUACGUGCCAGCAGCCGCAGUAA